This is a long non-coding RNA of Hyaena hyaena (striped hyena), 386 nucleotides long. RefSeq lists it as uncharacterized. NCBI's taxonomy places the organism in Eukaryota, Metazoa, Chordata, Mammalia, Carnivora, Hyaenidae. The transcript has 3 exons. The record is from RefSeq and is a predicted model, not a curated record.
UGAGCCAAAGUCCGAUGCUCAACCAACUGAGCCACCGAAAUGCUGCAUAAGGCGUGGAUUUUGAAGGGACCUGCAGGAGCGGUUCUGGCCGUCUUCCACCGCUACCAGAGCUCCAAGGAACCGAGCUGAGUUGUGGAGAAACAGCCUGUGGAAACUAGCUGGUUAUUCUGACACGUCCUCCUCAGUGACGCCCGCCUCCCCCUUGGAGUUGAAUGAUGUCCAGGGGGAGAAUCGCAUACUCAUAAAUCAUACUCAGUCAAAGACAGAAUAUUCUUUGAAGGAUAUAGUAGCUUCCAUCUGUGGUUUUUACUGUGUAUGCCAAGGUUUUCUCCUUUGUGGGAUCUUACUUCUGAAAUAGCAAUGGAAGUCAAUGGGAAAAUGUGAUG